RNAcentral lists this transfer RNA (72 nucleotides) under Chrysoporthe austroafricana. RNAcentral's name for it is "tRNA-Thr". It matches the Rfam family "tRNA". From Rfam's summary of the family: Transfer RNA (tRNA) molecules are approximately 80 nucleotides in length. Their secondary structure includes four short double-helical elements and three loops (D, anti-codon, and T loops). Further hydrogen bonds mediate the characteristic L-shaped molecular structure. tRNAs have two regions of fundamental functional importance: the anti-codon, which is responsible for specific mRNA codon recognition, and the 3' end, to which the tRNAs corresponding amino acid is attached (by aminoacyl-tRNA synthetases). tRNAs cope with the degeneracy of the genetic code in two manners: having more than one tRNA (with a specific anti-codon) for a particular amino acid; and 'wobble' base-pairing, i.e. permitting non-standard base-pairing at the 3rd anti-codon position. The record is from RNAcentral. RNAcentral also lists the same sequence under 1 other name. Lineage: Eukaryota; Fungi; Ascomycota; Sordariomycetes; Diaporthales; Cryphonectriaceae.
GCCUGGUUAGCAUAAACAGUAAUGCAAUUGUUUUGUAAUCAAUUGAAGGGGGUGCGAUACCCCCACUGGGCU